Molecule: long non-coding RNA, 2533 nt
Filed under: Capsicum annuum
Lineage: Eukaryota; Viridiplantae; Streptophyta; Magnoliopsida; Solanales; Solanaceae
Description: long non-coding RNA (CANN_LNC019868)
Source: RNAcentral
GACCCCUGAACCCACUAAAAAGCAAUAUUUUAAAUUUUUUUUGGGUGAAAGUAACACACUCUCUCCACGUCAGCUACCACGUCUGUCACAUCUGCCACGUCAUUUUAAAAAAAAAAGUAAAAAAAUAAAAAAAAGUGUUACAUUAAAUUCCAAGUCAUUUUUAAAAUGCUAAAUAAUGGUAAUAGCGAGUUUUGUUGCGCAACUUCAACUCCCGAAUUUACAUGUAAAAAUAAAAAGAGAAAAGAAUUAGAAAAGAUUAAAUAAUUUGAUAAGAUAAGAAUGGAAAUUAGCGAACACAUUAAACAAUAUAACAAAUAACCACAAACUUUGUCCUCCAACAUAUACCAAAAUUCCUCCAAUACCAGCUGGAGUCUGUUGGUAGGGCAUGUUCCUCCAACAUAAUGAAUUGCUAAAAAAAAAUGGUAACCUCCACUGAUUUGGUUACUUGUCAUAAAAAAAUAUGCCUACUUUCGAGAAGAAUUUUGCAUUUAUAUUGCUGUUCUAGAGUUCUGUUUUAGACCUAACACAAUUAUUAAGAUGAACUGAAAGUCCAUGUUCUCAAGAUUUUGCCCAUUCAUGUAUUACAACAACACUCGAAAACAACUAAGAUAAAACAGUCUGAAUUAUUUCUUGGCUAUUGUGGAAAUAAAAUACAGCUAAGUUCUUAUCGGCUUAUUGCUUCUUUGCUCACAUCCGUUAAUGUAUAACCACAGGAAUUUAUUCAAUAUGAAUAGUUACAACCAACUAAUCAAUUCUCAGGAAUAGUAUGGGAUGAAACGGUUAGCUCGGCCAAUAUCGCUCUCGUAAACAUGAACCUUAUCAAAUUCCUGCUAAACCCAUUUUUUUUUUAAACAAAAAAAGGCAGCAACGCAUAGAUACACACAUAUUUUACGAACUGCUAAGCGCGUUUUUUAAAAAAAAAAACGAAAUCAACCUCCCAGGCUUAAAAGCACUAGUUCAAUUAUUUUGAUAUGGUGUUCACAUUAACUAGUUGGAAUAGUUUUCAAUCCACUGCCAACCUAAAAAUAUCCCUAUUUACCCAUAAAUGCUAUGGAAACAUGAACAAAAUUUGGACCACCAAAGUUUUCAAACUCAAAACAAAUCGCACCUUGAAAAAAAAUCAAACGGGACUAUGUUUUUUUGAAAUCUGAUUUUCGAGAGCAAAUAACAACACCACGACCAAAAUUGAAAUAAAGAUAUACAAUACAUCCACAUAAAACUCCGUUUCAUAUUCGACAACACAACACACACUUGAUCAAAAUUCACAUACAAUUCCAUCUUUGAAUUAAUAACAACCUAAACCCAACCAAAUUUAAACUAAAAUAACACGUUCACGGGAACAAACAAGAUGAACACAAGAGGAGACGGAAGUGAGACAAGAAGAAGGUUUGCACAUUUCGCAUACGCCACGGACUUGAUUUCAUUGGAAAACAAAUAUCAAUACCAACACGGGCUAAAGCCCGACAAAUCCAUUUCAACACUAACCUAAUCAGAAGUCAUACAUCCACCCAUUUUUAGAAUCAACCAACAACCACCGAAACUACCUCAUCUGUAUGUUCGUGAAAAAUGAGAAAAUGGGAAGAUGGGGGACGAAUUUAUACCUUGUGUUGUGCAGCAAACUGGGCUUGACGGCAAAGGUUUUCCGGCAAUGAAAUCAAACUCCGAGUACUCCGAAUUCGGCCCAAAAUCAAAAAGAAAUCCAGAACCUUAACACUAAGUCCUUUCUAGGAAUUUGCACUUGCUUUCCUUGUUUUCUCUCUGUUUAUCCCUCUUUCAAAAUUUCUCCUUUUUCUAAAAAAAAAAAAAUACUUCCGCCCUAUUUUCACUUGAUUUUAACACUACUUUUCCGCUUUUCUCGAUUUUCCGCCUCUCUUUUUUCACUUUUUUCACAAUUUCAAGACCUUUCUCGCCUCUUUUCCACCUUUGUUCUCCCACCCCUUUGAGUGAUGACAUAGCCGGUAUUUAUAGCCAAAUCCGGACUUCAAAGUCCGAACUUGAAAAAACUUCGUUGGAGCCAACGGAUAGAAAAAGAGGGAAAGUCCAAUUUAAAAUCUGAAAAGAGAUGGAGGAUUUGCAGUCGAAUUGAAUUGUUGCAUCAAUUUGAGGUCUGUUUUCUCUGGUUGUUUGGCUUCACGAGCAGUGGGUGACGAAAAAGGGAGAAUCUUGACAGGCUAGCAGCGAAGCUGCGGCAGCUAAGGCCGCUAGGCUGAUGAAACGUUGUAUGGGGAAAUGGACACAUUACGCAUAUUCUGAUCUUGGGGUGAGAAAAGCCGUGUUUUGGGAGUUGUUUUGUUGAUUGAAAUUCAUAUCGUUUGAUUGUUUGAUUGGAAGAUUCAAAUUUGAUAUAAAAGUAAAAAGAAAUAUAUUUAUAUAUAUAUAAAUAAUUGAAAAUUUUGAGUUCUUUGGAUUAGAAAUAAAUUGACGGACUAGAUUAAUUUGUGUUUGUUCGAUUAAUUUUGGUAUUUCUUUGGUGACAUGAUGAUGUAUGAUUAGUGGAUGUUGUGUGAGGUAGAUUGAUGAAGUGGAAGUGAGA